RNAcentral lists this ribosomal RNA (825 nucleotides) under uncultured bacterium. Its description in RNAcentral is "bacterial SSU rRNA". It matches the Rfam family "Bacterial small subunit ribosomal RNA", at positions 61 to 880 of the family's 1533-position model. The record is from RNAcentral.
GUCGAGCGGUAGAGAGAAGCUUGCUUCUCUUGAGAGCGGCGGACGGGUGAGCCCUUUAAGGACUCUGCCUGGUAGAGGGGGAUAACGUUCGGACAACCUAUGCUAAUACCGCAUACGUCCUACGGGAGAAAGCAGGGGACCUUCGGGCCUUGCGCUAUCAGAUGAGCCUAGGUCGGAUUAGCUAGUUGGUGGGGUAAUGGCUCACCAAGGCGACGAUCCGUAACUGGUCUGAGAGGAUGAUCAGUCACACUGGAACUGAGACACGGUCCAGACUCCUACGGGAGGCAGCAGUGGGGAAUAUUGGACAAUGGGCGAAAGCCUGAUCCAGCCAUGCCGCGUGUGUGAAGAAGGUCUUCGGAUUGUAAAGCAACUUUAAGUUGGGAGGAAGGGCCAUUACCUAAAACGUGAUGGUUUUGACGUUUUCGACAGAAUAAGCACCGGCUAACUCUGUGCCAGCAGCCGCGGUAAUACAGAGGGUGCAAGCGUUAAUCGGAAUUACUGGGCGUAAAGCGCGCGUAGGUGGGUUGUUAAGUUGGAUGUGAAAUCCCCGGGCUCAACCUGGGAACUGCAUUCAAAACUGACUGACUAGAGUAUGGUAGAGGGUGGUGGAAUUUCCUGUGUAGCGGUGAAAUGCGUAGAUAUAGGAAGGAACACCAGUGGCGAAAGCGACCACCUGGACUGAUACUGACACUGAGGUGCGAAAGCGUGGGGAGCAAACAGGAAUAAAUACCCUGGUAGUCCACGCCGUAAACGAUGUCAACUAGCCGUUGGGAGGCCUGAGCUCUUUGUGGCGCAGCUAACGCAUUAAGUUGACCGCCCGGGGAG